RNAcentral lists this ribosomal RNA (873 nucleotides) under Cystostereum murrayi. Its description in RNAcentral is "LSU rRNA". It matches the Rfam family "Eukaryotic large subunit ribosomal RNA", at positions 32 to 918 of the family's 3401-position model. Lineage: Eukaryota; Fungi; Basidiomycota; Agaricomycetes; Agaricales; Cystostereaceae. The record is from RNAcentral.
ACUUAAGCAUAUCAAUAAGCGGAGGAAAAGAAACUAACAAGGAUUCCCCUAGUAACUGCGAGUGAAGCGGGAACAGCUCAAAUUUAAAAUCUGGCGGUAUUUGGCCGUCCGAGUUGUAAUUUAGAGAAGUGAUAUCCGUGCUGGACCGUGUAUAAGUUUCCUGGAAAGGUGCAUCAUAGAGGGCGACAAUCCCGUCUUUGACACGGACUCCCAGUGCUUUGUGAUACGCUCUCGAAGAGUCGUGUUGUUUGGGAAUGCAGCACUAAAAGGGUGGUAAAUUCCAUCUAAAGCUAAAUAUUGGCGAGAGACCGAUAGCGAACAAGUACCGUGAGGGAAAGAUGAAAAGAACUUUGGAAAGAGAGUUAAACAGUACGUGAAAUUGCUGAAAGGGAAACGCUUGAAGUCAGUCACGUUGGCUUGGAAUCAGCCUUGCUUUUGCUCGGUGUACUUCCUUGUUGACGGGUCAACAUCAGUUUUAGUCGUUGGAAAAAGGCUAGGGGAAUGUGGCAUCUCCGGAUGUGUUAUAGCCCUUGGUCAUAUACAACGGCUGGGACUGAGGUGCUCAGGCCGAAGGCUAGAGGAUGUUGGCAUAAUGGCUUUAAUCGACCCGUCUUGAAACACGGACCAAGGAGUCUAACAUGCCUGCGAGUAUUUGGGUGGAAAACUCAUCUGCGCAAUGAAAGUGAAAGUUGAGAACCCUGUCGUGGGGUGCAUCGACGCCCAGCCCUGAUCCACGGUGACGGUGCUGCGGUAGAGCAUGUAUGUUGGGACCCGAAAGAUGGUGAACUAUGCCUGAAUAGGGCGAAGCCAGAGGAAACUCUGGUGGAGGCUCUAGCGAUUCUGACGUGCAAAUCGAUCGUCGAAUUUGGGUAU